Molecule: ribosomal RNA, 254 nt
Filed under: uncultured bacterium
Lineage: Bacteria
Description: partial 16S ribosomal RNA
Rfam family: Bacterial small subunit ribosomal RNA
Source: RNAcentral
UACGGGGGGAGCAAGCGUUGUUCGGAUUUACUGGGCGUAAAGGGCGCGUAGGCGGCCACCGCAAGUCGACUGUGAAAUCUCCGGGCUUAACCCGGAAAGGUCAAUCGAUACUGCGGGGCUAGAGUGCAGAAGGGGCAACUGGAAUUCUCGGUGUAGCGGUGAAAUGCGUAGAUAUCGAGAGGAACACCUGCGGCGAAGGCGGGUUGCUGGGCUGACACUGACGCUGAAGCGCGAAAGCUAGGGGAGCGAACGGG